This is a non-coding RNA of Paramuricea clavata, 140 nucleotides long. NCBI's taxonomy places the organism in Eukaryota, Metazoa, Cnidaria, Anthozoa, Malacalcyonacea, Plexauridae. The record is from the annotation of a GenBank genome assembly.
UCUUCUCUAAAAGCACCAUGUUGUCUUGACACAAUAGCAGCAUUGGUCGUUGACGGGAAGAAGAGCAAUGCAAGGCCUUCGGGUGAAGUGUUUGAGGAUUAUUCCUGUGACAUUCAACUUCAAUCAGGCUUGCUACAACU